CACAGUCGAGUUGCAAUUGUUUUGCAUCUUCGCGUCUUUUUUACUUAUCUCUCGGACGAAUUUCGUGUACAAUAAAGUGUCUGGAAUGUUUAAUCAAAUGUUGGGCAAUCGUCUGAACGUAUUAUCUUGGUCUUCACGAACAUGAUUAACGCGUCUCUCAACAAUUCGUAUUCUCAUCUCUUCGCUCGAGAAUUUCCCGCAUCGUGUAAACGCAUGAAGUUAGUCACCGUGACGUUGCCGAAUCUGAAUAGACGUCGAGCUCCUUGUCAGUUCGUGUCGCAAGUUACCGGUGAGUAGUUGAAAUAUUAUCAUUUUACAAUUUGGUAUUUCUUUAUCUCAGGCGAAUUUCGUGUACGAAUGAACGUCAAUAGCGUUAAAUCUUGUGAUGAGCGAUUAAGUUGCUGUAUUAAUCAGUCUGCACGACCGCAUCAACGCAUUUUUCGGUGUCAUAAUCGACGUCUCUCGUUUCGCGUCACGUCGCGUCGCGUCGAACCGCCAUUAGAAAAGAUGGGUUUUUCGAUACUGACACCUCGUAACGUUUGCUCAUUCGGGAAUAUUACAAAUGCUAUCCAGCAUCCGGAGUUGCGUUGAGGAACAUCAAAGGACUACCGCAAUGAACUAAUCAAGACAGCGUUUGCAUCACGAGUACCAUCCAGAGCAUAUAGAUGUAUGGAAAGAAGUGUCGAGAAACCGCCGCAAUGCACUAAUAGAGACUGAUGAUUCCGCUCGUUUCGAAUAUUCGGGUAACAGUUAGUGCUCACAUUUGCUAUGAGUGGCAUUCGGUCACGAACUUCGCGGAAUUUUCUCGUCGUCGUGAAAGUGUCGCGCGUGAGAAAUCGGGAGUGUCGAAUGUAUUUACGGGCGAUCGAUUAGUUUGAUAUAUAGAUGUGAGAGUUCUUAAAUCACAAUGAAACACGUUGACCGCGAUCGAUAUCGGUUGCGUGUCGACAGAUAAUCGUUUGUCACAAAAAUUUCUCCACAAAUACGUGCGUUUCACGUCAUCCGUGAAUUAGCGGAAUCAAAAUUCAUGAGUGCGUCGUAAAUACAAUAUCAAGAAACAAAAAUGGAGAAUUCAGCAUUGGAUUGAUCCGCGAAAGACUGAUCUAUGGUUUAAAGCUGUAUUUAGUUGGAGACGAUCAAUACAACGAUCGGAUAAAAGGAUAAGAAAAGAGGGGACUGCAAGGGGUACGACGUGGGCGCCCCGGUGUGGUUAGUUGCACGAUUGUCCAGAUAAUGUCGUUGAUUGAACAAACAAUAACAUCGUUAAGGCAGACCGGGAGAUCGAUCUCGCCGGUGGGUGGAGAUAGAAAGGUCAGGGUGCGGAGAUCGCGCGCGGGAAAGAAAGCACGGGCGUCGAAUAAAGACGGAGAGGAGAACAGAUGCAGCGGAAAGGGUACUUAGGCAACGAGUGGU
Linepithema humile (Argentine ant) is the source of this 1413-nucleotide long non-coding RNA. RefSeq lists it as uncharacterized. NCBI's taxonomy places the organism in Eukaryota, Metazoa, Arthropoda, Insecta, Hymenoptera, Formicidae. The record is from RefSeq and is a predicted model, not a curated record.